This 465-nucleotide ribosomal RNA is filed under the name Vreelandella stevensii. RNAcentral describes it as "partial 16S ribosomal RNA". It matches the Rfam family "Bacterial small subunit ribosomal RNA", at positions 338 to 795 of the family's 1533-position model. The record is from RNAcentral. Lineage: Bacteria; Pseudomonadati; Pseudomonadota; Gammaproteobacteria; Oceanospirillales; Halomonadaceae.
CCUACGUGGAGCUGCAGUGGGGAAUAUUGGACAAUGGGCGAAAGCCUGAUCCAGCCAUGCCGCGUGUGUGAAGAAGGCCUUCGGGUUGUAAAGCACUUUCAGUGGGGAAGAAAGCCUUGGGGCUAAUACCCUCGAGGAAGGACAUCACCCACAGAAGAAGCACCGGCUAACUCCGUGCCAGCAGCCGCGGUAAUACGGAGGGUGCGAGCGUUAAUCGGAAUUACUGGGCGUAAAGCGCGCGUAGGCGGUCUGAUAAGCCGGUUGUGAAAGCCCCGGGCUCAACCUGGGAACGGCAUCCGGAACUGUCAGGCUAGAGUGCAGGAGAGGAAGGUAGAAUUCCCGGUGUAGCGGUGAAAUGCGUAGAGAUCGGGAGGAAUACCAGUGGCGAAGGCGGCCUUCUGGACUGACACUGACGCUGAGGUGCGAAAGCGUGGGUAGCAAACAGGAUUAGAUACCCCUGUAGUC